RNAcentral lists this ribosomal RNA (540 nucleotides) under uncultured bacterium. RNAcentral describes it as "bacterial SSU rRNA". It matches the Rfam family "Bacterial small subunit ribosomal RNA", at positions 1 to 526 of the family's 1533-position model. The record is from RNAcentral.
AUUAGAGUUUGAUCCUGGCUCAGGAUGAACGCUGGCGGCGUGCCUAAUACAUGCAAGUCGAGCGAACGGAUAAGGAGCUUGCUCCUUUGAAGUUAGCGGCGGACGGGUGAGUAACACGUGGGUAACCUACCUAUAAGACUGGAAUAACUUCGGGAAACCGGAGCUAAUGCCGGAUAACAUUUGGAACCGCAUGGUUCUAAAGUAAAAGAUGGUUUUGCUAUCACUUAUAGAUGGACCCGCGCCGUAUUAGCUAGUUGGUAAGGUAACGGCUUACCAAGGCAACGAUACGUAGCCGACCUGAGAGGGUGAUCGGCCACACUGGAACUGAGACACGGUCCAGACUCCUACGGGAGGCAGCAGUAGGGAAUCUUCCGCAAUGGACGAAAGUCUGACGGAGCAACGCCGCGUGAGUGAUGAAGGUUUUCGGAUAGUAAAACUCUGUUAUUAGGGAAGAACAAAUGUGUAAGUAACUGUGCACAUCUUGACGGUACCUAAUCAGAAAGCCACGGCUAACUACGUGCCAGCAGCCGCGGUAAUAAU